GAUUGCAGGCUGCAACCCGCCUGCAUGAAGUCGGAAUUGCUAGUAAUCGCGGAUCAGCAUGCCGCGGUGAAUACGUUCCCGGGCCUUGUACACACCGCCCGUCACACCAUGGGAGCCGGUAAUACCCGAAGUCAGUAGUCCAACCUCGUGAGGACGCUGCCGAAGGUAGGAUUGGCGACUGGGGUGAAGUCGUAACAAGGUAAC
Molecule: ribosomal RNA, 204 nt
Filed under: uncultured bacterium
Lineage: Bacteria
Description: partial 16S ribosomal RNA
Rfam family: Bacterial small subunit ribosomal RNA
Source: RNAcentral